GCCACCACGCCCCUCGUCGUGUGCCCCCGCCACGCUAGCAAAGGACCUCGAGGCCUGCUGCCCCGCCUAGCGUACCCACCUCGCUCGAGGUUGGGCGAGCGCAGAAGCAGAGUUCGGGACGACGGAUCGGAAUUCAUUGACUGGUUCUCUCUUUCCUUCCUCUCCCUUGGAUUCGUGGAGGUGGUGGAUCAAUCUUUCCUUCAUGGCGGCGGCGCAGCGAGCUCCGUGAGAUCAGGUGGGCUUGCUUCUGGUAAUCUCAGUUUUGUUAGUAGCAAGUGGUCAAUUUAGUGUUCAUUGGCAACAAAAAGAAGUGAAUAAUAGCAUGCCAUAACUUAGUGGUGCUUCCUGGUCCUGGAUAGAUGAUGUAUUGUACUUCUGCAUAAGCUAGGAAAUCUACAAAUUGAUUAUCUGCGGACUAUUUGUUCAUGCUUCUCGAAGAUCUGAACAUAUACCAUCUUUGUUGAUCGAUUUUAUUACUAACUAGCAGAUUCCUCCUGGUGUUUGGGACGUUUUCGGCAGGCUUGAUUUACUAGCUACGUCCAAG
RNAcentral lists this long non-coding RNA (544 nucleotides) under Triticum aestivum (bread wheat). RNAcentral's name for it is "long non-coding RNA (TAES_LNC002757)". Lineage: Eukaryota; Viridiplantae; Streptophyta; Magnoliopsida; Poales; Poaceae. The record is from RNAcentral.